Long non-coding RNA from Bombus impatiens (common eastern bumble bee), 1004 nucleotides. RefSeq lists it as uncharacterized. The record is from RefSeq and is a predicted model, not a curated record. NCBI's taxonomy places the organism in Eukaryota, Metazoa, Arthropoda, Insecta, Hymenoptera, Apidae. The transcript has 3 exons.
UUCGCGCGUGCAACGCGCCUGCGCGUUCUCGUGACGUGUAAGCCCUGGAAAGAGGAACGAGGAGGGAAGAAUACGAUGUACACGAGAAAAGGUAAGCAAUGAAAAGAGCGAGCAAGGUAGAGUAAUAUAUAGAUGAAGAGGGAAGAAAACGAGGAAGGAAGAGAAACGAGCAAUAUGGCAGCGUAGGAGUGGGACGGAGGGUAACCGAGGACGCAGAUGGUACGGAGUCCUCGAAGGAACCGAAAAGACGAAAGAGAGAACCACUGCGUGUUACACCGUUCUACUCGAAAAACUUCGUAACCAUACGCUUUCCCCAUGACUAACAGGUGGAAGGCGUUUGAAACGUGCAGCUUUCCUCGAGAUUAGCAGGUGGAGGAUACUAUUGGUGCCUCGUGCCGCGGAUUAUUUCGAACCAGAUCUGGAGAAACCACCUUCCCUUGUAGAAAGCAUAUGGACGAUUUAGCGAUUUAGGUAGAGAUCGUUUGACUUUUCAACGUUAAUAUCGCAAAAAAAUAACGAUCAAAUUAAGAUAAUAUUAAACGAAAUUUUCCAACAAAAGUUUUUAUUUCUUUUUAAAAUGAAUUUUCAUGGCGGAAAAUAUAAGCCAACCGACGCUGUUCGUUACAACGCGAAGAUAUAGCAGUGGACACUUCUCGCAAAUUAUAUAUUAAAGAGAAACGAUUUUCCAACGGUACCAGAGAAAGAAAUUCUUGCUUUGAGAAAAGUUAUCGUCACAAAUAAGAAAGUAAUAUAGCUGCAGGAUCGAUAGACAGUAGUAAAGUGUAGCGGAGAAUAUGUUUUAUUGAUGACUUAUUGCUGGAAUCGAUCGUCGGUUCCACGCUAGCAAAUAGAGUAACAGUAUACAUAUGCUUCAUAGUCACUGAAAAUUAUAGCAUUAUCAUUCGCUACUGUUUGUAGAUAUGUAUUAAAAAUUUUUUUCGAAAAUUGUACUAAUUUUUCCACUGUCGAUCAUCAAAUAUAUUUGUUUCAAUUUUAUUACAUUA